RNAcentral lists this ribosomal RNA (351 nucleotides) under Paenibacillus sp. XY044. RNAcentral describes it as "bacterial SSU rRNA". It matches the Rfam family "Bacterial small subunit ribosomal RNA", at positions 1 to 342 of the family's 1533-position model. The record is from RNAcentral. Lineage: Bacteria; Bacillati; Bacillota; Bacilli; Caryophanales; Paenibacillaceae.
UGGAGAGUUUGAUCCUGGCUCAGGACGAACGCUGGCGGCGUGCCUAAUACAUGCAAGUCGAGCGGACUUGAUGAGGAGCUUGCUCCUCUGAUGGUUAGCGGCGGACGGGUGAGUAACACGUAGGCAACCUGCCUGCAAGACCGGGAUAACCCACGGAAACGUGAGCUAAUACCGGAUAUCUCAUUUUCUCUCCUGGGGAGAUGACGAAAGACGGAGCAAUCUGUCACUUGCAGAUGGGCCUGCGGCGCAUUAGCUAGUUGGUGAGGUAACGGCUCACCAAGGCGACGAUGCGUAGCCGACCUGAGAGGGUGAACGGCCACACUGGGACUGAGACACGGCCCAGACUCCUAC